UCCUACGACUCCUUAACCAAAAGCUCGUAAACCGUAGCGCGGUUUACGCUUGGCGCGCAAGGAAGGAUAAAUGUCAAGUUUCCGCGGAUAAAUACGAAAUUUUGAGGAUAAUUACGAAGAUCGGAAAAAAUGGAAUAUCUCCAUUUAAUGCUAUGACGGCUUAAGGGCAGAAGAGUAAAAGCGUAAACCGACCUUGGAGAUAGUAUAUAAAGGAGUCCUAGGCGAGAGGCAUAAGGGGGGACUUUUUAGACUCGGAAUUCUCUGCACUUAGAAACUUUAGGCUUUAUUCUCGACAACUUCGGUUUCUAUGACUAGCACUCAAUUACUAGACGAACUCGGCCAGGCAGUUCGAUCUCUUGUUCAGCUCUAUCAAUUGAACUACGUUCGGCUUGAUCCUCGAAAGGGGUA
RNAcentral lists this long non-coding RNA (408 nucleotides) under Brassica napus (rape). RNAcentral describes it as "long non-coding RNA (BNAP_LNC003204)". Lineage: Eukaryota; Viridiplantae; Streptophyta; Magnoliopsida; Brassicales; Brassicaceae. The record is from RNAcentral.